Molecule: long non-coding RNA, 422 nt
Organism: Apus apus (common swift)
Lineage: Eukaryota; Metazoa; Chordata; Aves; Apodiformes; Apodidae
Exons: 2
Source: RefSeq, a predicted model, not a curated record
GGAAAGACCCAGGAGAGAGAAAGUCAUGGCAGGAAGAGGCAGAAAAGAUGCAUCAGGUGGAUUCUUUCAGAUCCUUCAAUUUGACUUACAAAAUGGGGGCAAAAGCUGAUUCAACUUAGACUCAAACCCCAAAGUUUUCAGCCAGCAAGGAGAGGCCCUGCUUAAAGAUUCCACCCCAGCAUGGUUUCCUGCUCCUCCUGCAGCCUGAGGUGGUACCAGAAGAACACAUGGUGCUUAUGGAUGUUCUCUAAAGGCUUUGGACUUAUUAGGAAGUCUUAAGAGCUUUGUGACAAGGAAUUAAGAGUUGACAUUCCAGACCCCAGUGGUGCUCACAUACAUGUGGCUCCAUGCUGUGAAGGGUCCACUCUGAACGAGUCAGCUCCAGAUGUCUUCUCACCCAGCUUUCUUCUUGCAGGUACUGG